RNAcentral lists this ribosomal RNA (1552 nucleotides) under Staphylococcus aureus. RNAcentral describes it as "16S ribosomal RNA". It matches the Rfam family "Bacterial small subunit ribosomal RNA". The record is from RNAcentral. Lineage: Bacteria; Bacillati; Bacillota; Bacilli; Caryophanales; Staphylococcaceae.
UUUAUGGAGAGUUUGAUCCUGGCUCAGGAUGAACGCUGGCGGCGUGCCUAAUACAUGCAAGUCGAGCGAACGGACGAGAAGCUUGCUUCUCUGAUGUUAGCGGCGGACGGGUGAGUAACACGUGGAUAGCCUACCUAUAAGACUGGGAUAACUUCGGGAAACCGGAGCUAAUACCGGAUAAUAUUUUGAACCGCAUGGUUCAAAAGUGAAAGACGGUCUUGCUGUCACUUAUAGAUGGAUCCGCGCUGCAUUAGCUAGUUGGUAAGGUAACGGCUUACCAAGGCAACGAUGCAUAGCCGACCUGAGAGGGUGAUCGGCCACACUGGAACUGAGACACGGUCCAGACUCCUACGGGAGGCAGCAGUAGGGAAUCUUCCGCAAUGGGCGAAAGCCUGACGGAGCAACGCCGCGUGAGUGAUGAAGGUCUUCGGAUCGUAAAACUCUGUUAUUAGGGAAGAACAUAUGUGUAAGUAACUGUGCACAUCUUGACGGUACCUAAUCAGAAAGCCACGGCUAACUACGUGCCAGCAGCCGCGGUAAUACGUAGGUGGCAAGCGUUAUCCGGAAUUAUUGGGCGUAAAGCGCGCGUAGGCGGUUUUUUAAGUCUGAUGUGAAAGCCCACGGCUCAACCGUGGAGGGUCAUUGGAAACUGGAAAACUUGAGUGCAGAAGAGGAAAGUGGAAUUCCAUGUGUAGCGGUGAAAUGCGCAGAGAUAUGGAGGAACACCAGUGGCGAAGGCGACUUUCUGGUCUGUAACUGACGCUGAUGUGCGAAAGCGUGGGGAUCAAACAGGAUUAGAUACCCUGGUAGUCCACGCCGUAAACGAUGAGUGCUAAGUGUUAGGGGGUUUCCGCCCCUUAGUGCUGCAGCUAACGCAUUAAGCACUCCGCCUGGGGAGUACGACCGCAAGGUUGAAACUCAAAGGAAUUGACGGGGACCCGCACAAGCGGUGGAGCAUGUGGUUUAAUUCGAAGCAACGCGAAGAACCUUACCAAAUCUUGACAUCCUUUGACAACUCUAGAGAUAGAGCUUUCCCCUUCGGGGGACAAAGUGACAGGUGGUGCAUGGUUGUCGUCAGCUCGUGUCGUGAGAUGUUGGGUUAAGUCCCGCAACGAGCGCAACCCUUAAGCUUAGUUGCCAUCAUUAAGUUGGGCACUCUAAGUUGACUGCCGGUGACAAACCGGAGGAAGGUGGGGAUGACGUCAAAUCAUCAUGCCCCUUAUGAUUUGGGCUACACACGUGCUACAAUGGACAAUACAAAGGGCAGCGAAACCGCGAGGUCAAGCAAAUCCCAUAAAGUUGUUCUCAGUUCGGAUUGUAGUCUGCAACUCGACUACAUGAAGCUGGAAUCGCUAGUAAUCGUAGAUCAGCAUGCUACGGUGAAUACGUUCCCGGGUCUUGUACACACCGCCCGUCACACCACGAGAGUUUGUAACACCCGAAGCCGGUGGAGUAACCUUUUAGGAGCUAGCCGUCGAAGGUGGGACAAAUGAUUGGGGUGAAGUCGUAACAAGGUAGCCGUAUCGGAAGGUGCGGCUGGAUCACCUCCUUU